AGCGACGAAACGGCAGAUCCCGUCGGUGUUUGUGGGGAGACGAAGUCAGACCUCUGCCGGCGGCCUGGUGUACCGUCGGGCUGAGCCCUCCUGCGCAGACAGUGGAACGACCGGUUAUUCCUAUGGAAUUUAUUAAAGCAUUUUCCUCCAUCAAUGUGAGGUAAGUUUUCUCCUUUCCAUAUGUAAGUUGGUCUAACAAGGCUUUGGGAGAUGUGACAGAACACCCUAUAGACUGUAAUACAUUUAAUCUUCAAAUUUUUAAAACCAUCUUGCACUCCAAAGACUUCCAAUAUUAUUCUGUUUCUAAUUUCAGAACAUGUCAAGUAUGGGAAUCGUGAUGUACAUGGCCUGGUUAUGGUUCUCAUUUAGAAGGCUAAUUCAAUACUGUUCUAGGAUGAAGUGGCCGAUUUUUCUGUCCUGGUUCUGCUCAGAAGCAGGACUGCAGUCUCAGGCAGCCAUAGUCUUCAGACUAGAGCACAGCUGAUUGGAGCUCUUCAAACACAUCAUACAACCAAGUGAUACAAGAUUAUUUGUAAAGUCAUGAUUCGAAAAAGGGAAAAUUCAUCUUUCUCCUUACUCAAUUCCAUAUGGAAGAAGGAACAUGCAUGAACUUUUUUCGCAGGGUGGCCAGGUCAAGGAGUGCAUAUUAGGCAAAUUCAGUGUGAACAAAAAUGGGAAAACUUUCUCACUGUGAUGUCUAAAAAACAUUAGCUACAUGUAAGUGUAGAAAAUACAAGUAAUAAGCAGUCAGCAGAGCUGAGAUCCAGGUGGGUUAAUGUCUUCUACUUUGUAGAGCUCGAGGCAGGACCCGAGGUAACCCAGGAGCCCUGGUAACUUAGACUGCAUCUUUUUCUCCUGAUUCUAAAAUAUCUUCAUUAACUGCCAACAACUAUUGAGUCUUUACUACAUUAUGCACAUGAAAAUACAAUAUAUACUGGGGUCCUGGAGAAUAUAUCUGUUCUCAAAAUAUGCAUACUGGAAUGACUAGAAUUACUAGAAUAUCUUUCACAAGAGCUGUGGUGUAGGUUGCAGGUGUGGCUCGGAUCUGACGUGGCUGUGGCUCUGGCAUAGGCUGGUAGCUACAGCUCUGAUUAGAUCCCUAGCCUGGGAACCGCCAUAUGCCGAGGGGGCAGCCCUAGAAAAGACAAAAUUAAAUCAAUCAAUCAAUCAAUCAAAUAAAUAAAUAAAUAAAAUAAAUAAAAUUUAGUUACUGUAUCAAGCUUUAGGUUGAUCUCCCCCACCCGGCGCAUACUCAGACCAUGCUUCUUGCUUUCCUUUCUGCAUAGGAUAAGUUCACCAAAGGAAUGCAUGUGAACAAAAGUGACCUAUGCGACUUCUGCUUGCCAUGCUUAAAGAGAAAUUGCUUGGCCUCCUUUUUGAUGCUUCCCUGUUACAAGGGCUGCAACAUAGAUGUGGGAGUGGCCAAAAUCUAUUGAUCAGAUGACAACCCCAAGAACGGCAGAGUUAGCGGCAAGUCGAAAGGAGCCUGGGGCCUUGGGUGAGAGCUUGAGUGAGAGCUCUCUGGCCUGGUCUCAGCAAACUUUUUCUGUAAAGGACCAGAUAGUAAAUGCUUUGGGUUUCGUGGGUCAUAAGGUAUCUAUUCAGCUCUGCCAUGUGUAGUGCAAAAGUAGCCAUGGACAAUACUUAACUACAAAUGAGUUGUGAAUAAGUAUUGCUGUGCUCCAGUAAAACUUUAUUUAAUGGACACUCAAGAUUGAAUUUUAUAUAAUUUUCAUAUGCCACAGAAUAUGCUGGUUUUGAUUUUUUAAGCCAUUUAAAGAUAUAAAAACUGAACAUAUAUGUAUGACUGGGUCACCUCACUGGACAGCAGAAAUUGACAUAACACUGUAAAUCAACUAUACUUUAUUUAAAAAUCCAAAAAAAAAUGGAGUUCCCAUUGUGGCUCAGAGGAAACAAACCUACUAAUAUCCAGGAGGAUGCAGGUUUGAUCCCUGGCCUUGCUCAGCAGGUUAAGGAUCUGUUGUUGCUGUGAGCUGUGGUGUAGGUUGCAGACCAACCCCUAGCCUGGGAACUUCCAUAUGCCAUAGGUGUGGCCCUAAAAAGCAAAAACAAAACAAAACAACAAACAAACAAACAAACAAAAACCCUAUAAAAAAAAGACAAAAAUAUUCUUUUUAAAAAAAAAUUGAAUCAGAGCUGUAGCUGCUGCUGACGCUAGAGUGACGGCAAUGCGGGAUCCAAGCUGCGUCUCUGACCUGCUCCACAGCUCACAGUAACACUGGAUCCUUAACCCACUGAGCAAGGCUAGGGGUAAAACCCAUGUUCUCAUGGGGGCUAGUCAGGCUCAUUACUGCUGAGCCACAAUGGGAACUUCCUGUAAAGACUAUUCUUAAGUUAGAAACAAACAGACAGAGAGCAGGCUAGAUUUGACCCCAGGCUGUGUUUGCCAGCCCCCAACCUAGGCUGCUGGACAGGAAUGGAGACAAUAAACUUCCCAGUCUUUAAGUCACCAUCUGUUGGGAUUUCUGGCCAAAGGAACUUAGCCUCAUCAUGCACACCUGGUAAAGAUGCCCUUAGUUACCAUGGGUGGGCUUAAGAAAAGUGUGUGUUUAGAAAAUCAGUCUUUCACAAUAUUUUUGAUGCUGUUAACUUAUUAUUAUUAUUAUUAUUAUUAUUAUUAUUAUUGGUCUGCUUAUUUUCUUUUUCUUUUCUAAAUAAUGAUUUUUAUUUUUUCCAUUAUAGCUGGUUUACAGUGUUCUGUCAAUUUUCUACUGUACAGCAUGGUGAUCCAGUUACACAUACAUGUAUACAUACUUUUUUCUCACAUUAUCAUGCUCCGUCUAAAUGACUAGAUAUAGUUCCCAGUGCUAUCCAGCAGAAUCUCAUUGCUUAUCCAUUCCAAAGGCAAUAGUUUGCAUCUAUGAACCCAAAUUCCCAAUCCAUCCCACUCCCUCCCCCUCCCCCUUGGCAACCACAAGUGUGUUCUCCAAUUCCAUGAUUUUCUUUUUGGUGGAAAGGUUCAUUUGUGCCAUAUAUUAGAUUCCAGAUAUGUGAUAUCAUGUGGUAAUUGACUUUCUCUUUCUGACUUACUUCACUUAGUAUGAGAGUCUCUAGUUCCAUCCAUGUUGCUGCGAAUGGCAUUAUUUUUUCUUUUUUAUGUCUGAGUAGUAUUCCAUUGUGUAUAUAUACAAUGGAAUACUAUAUACACAUCUUCCGAAUCCAAUCAUCUGCCGAUGGACAUUUGGGUUGUUUCCAUGUCUUGGCUAUUGUGAAUGGUGCUGCAAUGAACAUACAGGUGCAUGUGUCUUUUUCAAGGAAAGUUUUGUCCGGAUAUAUUCCUAAGAGUGGGAUUGCUGGGUCAUAUGGUAGUUCUAUGUGUAGUUUUCUAAGGUACCUCUAUACUGUUUUCCAUAGUGGUUGUACCAAUUUGCAUUCCCAUCAACAGUGCAGGGGGUUCCCUUUUCUCCACACCCUUUCCAGCAUUCAUUAUUUGUGGACUUAUUAAUGAUGGCCAUUCUGACUGGUGUGAGGUGGUACCUCAUAGUAGUUUUAAUCUUCAUUUCUCUAAUAAUCAGUUCUGUUGAGCAUUUUUUCAUGUGCCUGUUGGCCAUCUAUAUAUCUUCUUUGGGAGAAAUGUCUAUUCAGUUCUUUUGCCCCUUUUUCUCUUGGGUUGUUGGCUUAUUUGCUGUUGAGUUGUAUAAGUUGUUUGUAUGUUUUAGAGAUUAAGCCCUUGUCAGUUGUGAUGCUGUUUACUUUGUAAAUUUUAACCACCUUUUUUUUUUAAGGUAUUGAUAUACCAUUAGACCCAGUAUUGAUAUUUGGUUUUCGGUACUUAUGUUUUUUGUAGUCAUGGAAAACAAUGGUUAAUUGACAAGAAUUACCAUUCUCUGGCUUAGCCCUCCUCCUCCCCCCUAAAAAUCACAAAAUUUGAACUAUUUUUUCAUUGUUUUCUUUUUUAAUAAUCCACAAUAAAUGCUUAUGAGGCAACUGCAUGCAAAAAUCCCACCAGGAACUGCAUCAAAUUUGACUUAAAAGACACGAUCCUGGAGUUCCUGUCAUGGCACAGUGGUUAACGAAUCCGACUAGGAACCAUGAGGUUGCGGGUUCCCUCCCUGCCCUUGCUCAGUGGGUUAACGAUCCGGCGUUGCUGUGAGCUGUGGUGUAGGUUGCAGACGUGGCUCGGAUCCGACGUGGCUCGGAUCCCGCAUUGCUGUGGCUCUGGCGUAGGCCAGCGGCUACAGCUCCGAUUAGACCCCUAGCCUGGGAACCUCCAUAUGCCGCGGGAGCGGCCCAAAGAAAUAGCAAAAA
Molecule: long non-coding RNA, 4269 nt
Filed under: Sus scrofa (pig)
Lineage: Eukaryota; Metazoa; Chordata; Mammalia; Artiodactyla; Suidae
Description: lncRNA (ENSSSCG00015044953.1)
Source: RNAcentral